GGGUGCGAGGGACAUCUGGCUGCAAUGUUUGUGAUCCCAUUUAUCGUCAGGGUUGAUCCGGCUGAUCUGGCUAGCUAGGCGGGUGUCCCUUUCCUCCCUCGUCACUCCAUGUGGGUCCCUCCUAAAGCUGCUUGCUCAGAUGAAGAGGAGAACCUGCUCUAACAGAGGACCGUUCUUCAGUCAAGGGUAUCCUAGUAGCUGCACUCUGCACUCUCUGCUAGAACCACCAAACAAGCUUUCAAGCAAUGAUGAAAAAAGCAUUCCUUUUAUUUCAGCAGAAAGACUGU
This is a non-coding RNA of Otolemur garnettii (small-eared galago), 287 nucleotides long. NCBI's taxonomy places the organism in Eukaryota, Metazoa, Chordata, Mammalia, Primates, Galagidae. The record is from Rfam.